Molecule: ribosomal RNA, 700 nt
Filed under: uncultured bacterium
Lineage: Bacteria
Description: bacterial SSU rRNA
Rfam family: Bacterial small subunit ribosomal RNA
Source: RNAcentral
GGGGAAGCAACCAUGCAAGUCGAGGGGCAGCGUGGGAGCGAAGCUUGCUUUGCUCCGCCGGCGACCGGCGCACGGGUGAGUAACGCGUAUGCAACCUGCCCGUUUCAGCGGGAUAACCCGGAGAAAUCCGGCCUAAUACCGCAUGUGGCCGAGGGGAGGCAUCUUCUUUCGGCCAAAGGAGGCAACUCCGGAGACGGAUGGGCAUGCGUGACAUUAGCUUGUUGGCGGGGUAACGGCCCACCAAGGCGACGAUGUCUAGGGGUUCUGAGAGGAAGGUCCCCCACACUGGUACUGAGACACGGACCAGACUCCUACGGGAGGCAGCAGUGAGGAAUAUUGGUCAAUGGGCGAGAGCCUGAACCAGCCAAGUCGCGUGAAGGAUGACGGCCCUACGGGUUGUAAACUUCUUUUGUCAGGGAGCAAUUGAGUCCACGUGUGGGCUUAGCGAGAGUACCUGAAGAAAAAGCAUCGGCUAACUCCGUGCCAGCAGCCGCGGUAAUACGGAGGAUGCGAGCGUUAUCCGGAUUUAUUGGGUUUAAAGGGUGCGUAGGCGGAAUAUCAAGUCAGCGGUAAAAAUUCGGGGCUCAACCCCGUCGUGCCGUUGAAACUGAUGUUCUUGAGUGGGCGAGAAGUAUGCGGAAUGCGUGGUGUAGCGGUGAAAUGCAUAGAUAUCACGCAGAACUCCGAUUGCGAAGGCAGC